GACGAACGCUGGCGGCGUGCUUAACACAUGCAAGUCGAACGGAAAGGCCCUGCUUUUGUGGGGUGCUCGAGUGGCGAACGGGUGAGUAACACGUGAGUAACCUGCCCUUGACUUUGGGAUAACUUCAGGAAACUGGGGCUAAUACCGGAUAGGAGCUCCUGCUGCAUGGUGGGGGUUGGAAAGUUUCGGCGGUUGGGGAUGGACUCGCGGCUUAUCAGCUUGUUGGUGGGGUAGUGGCUUACCAAGGCUUUGACGGGUAGCCGGCCUGAGGGGGUGACCGGCCACAUUGGGACUGAGAUACGGCCCAGACUCCUACGGGAGGCAGCAGUGGGGAAUAUUGCACAAUGGGCGGAAGCCUGAUGCAACAACGCCGCGUGCGGGAUGACGGCCUUCGGGUUGUAAACCGCUUUCGCCUGUGACGAAGCGUGAGUGACGGUAAUGGGUAAAGAAGCACCGGCUAACUACGUGCCAGCAGCCGCGGUGAUACGUAGGGUGCGAGCGUUGUCCAGAUUUAUUGGGCGUAAAGGGCUCGUAGGUGGUUGAUCGCGUCGGAAGUGUAAUCUUGGGGCUUAACCCUGAGCGUGCUUUCGAUACGGGUUGACUUGAGGAAGGUAGGGGAGAAUGGAAUUCCUGGUGGAGCGGUGGAAUGCGCAGAUAUCAGGAGGAACACCAGUGGCGAAGGCGGUUCUCUGGGCCUUCCCUGACGCUGAGGAGCGAAAGCGUGGGGAGCGAACAGGCUUAGAUACCCUGGUAGUCCACGCUGUAAACGGUGGGUACUAGGUGUGGGGUCCAUUCCACGGGUUCCGUGCCGUAGCUAACGCUUUAAGUACCCCGCCUGGGGAGUACGGCCGCAAGGCUAAAACUCAAAGGAAUUGACGGGGCCCCGCACAAGCGGCGGAGCAUGCGGAUUAAUUCGAUGCAACGCGUAGAACCUUACCUGGGUUUGACAUGGAUCGGGAGUGCUCAGAGAUGGGUGUGCCUCUUUUGGGGUCGGUUCACAGGUGGUGCAUGGCUGUCGUCAGCUCGUGUCGUGAGAUGUUGGGUUAAGUCCCGCAACGAGCGCAACCCUUGUUCACUGUUGCCAGCACGUUAUGGUGGGGACUCAGUGGAGACCGCCGGGGUCAACUCGGAGGAAGGUGGGGAUGACGUCAAGUCAUCAUGCCCCUUAUGUCCAGGGCUUCACGCAUGCUACAAUGGCUGGUACAGAGAGUGGCGAGCCUGUGAGGGUGAGCGAAUCUCGGAAAGCCGGUCUCAGUUCGGAUUGGGGUCUGCAACUCGACCUCAUGAAGUCGGAGUCGCUAGUAAUCGCAGAUCAGCAACGCUGCGGUGAAUACGUUCCCGGGGCU
Molecule: ribosomal RNA, 1346 nt
Filed under: uncultured bacterium
Lineage: Bacteria
Description: partial 16S ribosomal RNA
Rfam family: Bacterial small subunit ribosomal RNA
Source: RNAcentral